AGAGUUUGAUCCUGGCUCASNNUGAACGCUGGCGGUAUGCUUAAUACAUGCAAGUCGUACGAGGGCUUUUAGCCCUAGUGGCGGACGGGUGAGUAACACGUGAGAAUCUGCCCUUAGGAGGAGGAUAACAGCUGGAAACGGUUGCUAAUACUCCAUAUGCCGAGAGGUGAAAGGAAUUUCUGCCUAAGGAGGAGCUCGCGUCUGAUUAGCUAGUUGGUAGGGUAAAGGCCUACCAAGGCGACGAUCAGUAGCUGGUUUGAGAGGAUGAUCAGCCACACUGGGACUGAGACACGGCCCAGACUCCUACGGGAGGCAGCAGUAGGGAAUUUUCCGCAAUGGGCGAAAGCCUGACGGAGCAAUACCGCGUGAGGGAUGACGGCCUGUGGGUUGUAAACCUCUUUUCUCAAGGAAGAAGUUCUGACGGUACUUGAGGAAUAAGCAUCGGCUAACUCUGUGCCAGCAGCCGCGGUAAUACAGAGGAUGCAAGCGUUAUCCGGAAUCACUGGGCAUAAAGCGUCUGUAGGUGGUUUGGUAAGUCUGCUGUUAAAGACUGGGGCUCAACCCCAGAAAAGCAGUGGAAACUGCCAGACUUGAGUGUGGUAGAGGUAAA
This 610-nucleotide ribosomal RNA is filed under the name uncultured Cryptophyta. RNAcentral's name for it is "SSU rRNA". It matches the Rfam family "Bacterial small subunit ribosomal RNA", at positions 8 to 661 of the family's 1533-position model. Lineage: Eukaryota; Cryptophyceae. The record is from RNAcentral.